UACAACUUUCAGCAACGGAUCUCUUGGCUCUCGCAUCGAUGAAGAACGCAGCGAAAUGCGAUAAGUAAUGUGAAUUGCAGAAUUCAGUGAAUCAUCGAAUCUUUGAACGCACCUUGCGCUUCUUGGUAUUCCGAGGAGCAUGCCUGUUUGAGUGUCAUUAAAUUCUCAAUCCCUUCCAGUUCUUUGUAAGCUGGUUGUGGCUUGGAUAUUGGGGGUUCUGCAGGCCUUGUUAUGUCGAGGUCAGCUCCC
Molecule: ribosomal RNA, 249 nt
Filed under: Thaxterogaster sp. CA82
Lineage: Eukaryota; Fungi; Basidiomycota; Agaricomycetes; Agaricales; Cortinariaceae
Description: Gigasperma sp. CA82 5.8S ribosomal RNA
Rfam family: 5.8S ribosomal RNA (bases 4-157)
About the family: 5.8S ribosomal RNA (5.8S rRNA) is a component of the large subunit of the eukaryotic ribosome. It is transcribed by RNA polymerase I as part of the 45S precursor that also contains 18S and 28S rRNA. Functionally, it is thought that 5.8S rRNA may be involved in ribosome translocation.
Source: RNAcentral